This 678-nucleotide ribosomal RNA is filed under the name Salmonella enterica subsp. enterica serovar Infantis. RNAcentral's name for it is "partial 23S ribosomal RNA". It matches the Rfam family "Bacterial large subunit ribosomal RNA", at positions 1271 to 1934 of the family's 2925-position model. The record is from RNAcentral. Lineage: Bacteria; Pseudomonadati; Pseudomonadota; Gammaproteobacteria; Enterobacterales; Enterobacteriaceae.
UGCUGGAGGUAUCAGAAGUGCGAAUGCUGACAUAAGUAACGAUAAAGCGGGUGAAAAGCCCGCUCGCCGGAAGACCAAGGGUUCCUGUCCAACGUUAAUCGGGGCAGGGUGAGUCGACCCCUAAGGCGAGGCCGAAAGGCGUAGUCGAUGGGAAACGGGUUAAUAUUCCCGUACUUGGUGUUACUGCGAAGGGGGGACGGAGAAGGCUAUGUUGGCCGGGCGACGGUUGUCCCGGUUUAAGCGUGUAGGCUGGUUUUCCAGGCAAAUCCGGAAAAUCAAGGCUGAGGCGUGAUGACGAGGCACUACGGUGCUGAAGCAACAAAUGCCCUGCUUCCAGGAAAAGCCUCUAAGCAUCAGGUAACAUCAAAUCGUACCCCAAACCGACACAGGUGGUCAGGUAGAGAAUACCAAGGCGCUUGAGAGAACUCGGGUGAAGGAACUAGGCAAAAUGGUGCCGUAACUUCGGGAGAAGGCACGCUGACACGUAGGUGAAGUGAUUUACUCAUGGAGCUGAAGUCAGUCGAAGAUACCAGCUGGCUGCAACUGUUUAUUAAAAACACAGCACUGUGCAAACACGAAAGUGGACGUAUACGGUGUGACGCCUGCCCGGUGCCGGAAGGUUAAUUGAUGGGGUCAGCGCAAGCGAAGCUCCUGAUCGAAGCCCCGGUAAACGGCGGC